Molecule: ribosomal RNA, 445 nt
Filed under: uncultured bacterium
Lineage: Bacteria
Description: SSU rRNA
Rfam family: Bacterial small subunit ribosomal RNA
Source: RNAcentral
AGAGCGAACGCUGGCGGCAGGCCUAACACAUGCAAGUCGAGCGCCCCGCAAGGGGAGCGGCAGACGGGAGAGUAACACGUGGGAACGUACCCUUUGGUUCGGAACAACACAGGGAAACUUGUGCUAAUACCGGAUAAGCCCUUACGGGGAAAGAUUUAUUGCCAAAGGAUCGGCCCGCGUCUGAUUAGCUUGUUGGUGAGGUAACGGCUCACCAAGGCUACGAUCAGUAGCUGGUCUGAGAGGAUGAUCAGCCUCACUGGGACUGAGACACGGCCCAGACUCCUACGGGAGGCAGCAGUGGGGAAUAUUGGACAAUGGGCGCAAGCCUGAUCCAGCCAUGCCGCGUGGAUGAUGAAGGCCCUAGGGUUGUAAAGUCCUUUCGACGGGGAAGAGUAAUGACGGUACCCGUAGAAGAAGCCCCGGCUAACUUCGCGCCAGCAACCGC